GGUUAAGUGAAUAAGGGCGCACGGUGGAUGCCUUGGCACUAGGAGCCGAUGAAGGACGGGACUAACACCGAUAUGCUUUGGGGAGCUGUACGUAAGCUAUGAUCCAGAGAUUUCCGAAUGGGGGAACCCAACAUCUUUAAUAGGAUGUUACGAUUGUGUGAAUACAUAGCACAUUCGAGGUAGACGCAGAGAACUGAAACAUCUAAGUACCUGCAGGAAGAGAAAGAAAAUUCGAUUCCCUGAGUAGCGGCGAGCGAAACGGGAAAAGCCCAAACCAGCAAGCUUGCUUGUUGGGGUUGUAGGACUCCAAUAUGGUAGUUCUUUCAGAUAGUCGAAUGACUUGGAAAAGUCAGUCAAAGAGGGUAAAAACCCCGUAGACGAAAUGUGGAAGACACCUAGGAGGAUCCUGAGUACGGCGGAACACGAGAAAUUCCGUCGGAAUCCGGGAGGACCAUCUCCCAAGGCUAAAUACUCCCUAGUGACCGAUAGUGAACCAGUACCGUGAGGGAAAGGUGAAAAGCACCCCGGAAGGGGAGUGAAAUAGAACCUGAAACCGUGUGCCUACAACAAGUCAAAGCCCGUUAAUGGGUGAUGGCGUGCCUUUUGUAGAAUGAACCGGCGAGUUACGAUUGCAUGCGAGGUUAAGUUGAAGAGACGGAGCCGCAGCGAAAGCGAGUCUGAAUAGGGCGUUUGAGUAUGUAGUCGUAGACCCGAAACCAUGUGAUCUACCCAUGUCCAGGUUGAAGGUGCGGUAAAACGCACUGGAGGACCGAACCCACGUACGUUGAAAAGUGCGGGGAUGAGGUGUGGGUAGCGGAGAAAUUCCAAACGAACUUGGAGAUAGCUGGUUCUCUCCGAAAUAGCUUUAGGGCUAGCCUCGGAAUUGAGAAUGAUGGAGGUAGAGCACUGUUUGGACUAGGGGCCCAUCUCGGGUUACCGAAUUCAGAUAAACUCCGAAUGCCAUUCAUUCAUAUCCGGGAGUCAGACUGUGAGUGAUAAGAUCCAUAGUCGAAAGGGAAACAGCCCAGACCACCAGCUAAGGUCCCAAAAUAUAUGUUAAGUGGAAAAGGAUGUGGGGUUGCACAGACAACUAGGAUGUUGGCUUAGAAGCAGCCACCAUUUAAAGAGUGCGUAAUAGCUCACUAGUCGAGUGACCCUGCGCCGAAAAUGUACCGGGGCUAAACAUAUUACCGAAGCUGUGGAGUACACCUUUAGGUGUAUUGGUAGGAGAGCGUUCUAAGGGCGUUGAAGGCAGAUCGUGAGGACUGCUGGAGCGCUUAGAAGUGAGAAUGCCGGUAUGAGUAGCGAAAGACAGGUGAGAAUCCUGUCCACCGAAUGACUAAGGUUUCCUGGGGAAGGCUCGUCCGCCCAGGGUUAGUCGGGACCUAAGCCGAGGCCGACAGGCGUAGGCGAUGGAUAACAGGUUGAUAUUCCUGUACCCGUUGUUUUUGUUUGAGCAAUGGAGGGACGCAGGAGGCUAAGGAAUGCAGACGAUCGGAAAUGUCUGUCCAAGCAGUAAGUCUGAAGAGGAGUCAAAUGCUUCUUUUCUUAAGGACAAGCUGUGAUGGGGAGGGAAAUAAUAGUACCGAAGUUCCUGAUGUCACACUGCCGAGAAAAGCUUCUAGUGAGAAAACAGCGGCCCGUACCGCAAACCGACACAGGUAGUCGAGGAGAGAAUCCUAAGGUGAGCGAGAGAACUCUCGUUAAGGAACUCGGCAAAAUGACCCCGUAACUUCGGGAGAAGGGGUGCUGAUCAUACGAUCAGCCGCAGUGAAUAGGCCCAAGCGACUGUUUAUCAAAAACACAGGUCUCUGCAAAAUCGUAAGAUGAAGUAUAGGGGCUGACGCCUGCCCGGUGCUGGAAGGUUAAGAGGAGUGCUUAGCGCAAGCGAAGGUACGAAUUGAAGCCCCAGUAAACGGCGGCCGUAACUAUAACGGUCCUAAGGUAGCGAAAUUCCUUGUCGGGUAAGUUCCGACCCGCACGAAAGGCGUAACGAUUUGGGCACUGUCUCAACGAGAGACUCGGUGAAAUUUUAGUACCUGUGAAGAUGCAGGUUACCCGCGACAGGACGGAAAGACCCCAUGGAGCUUUACUGUAGUUUGAUAUUGAGUGUCUGUACCGCAUGUACAGGAUAGGUAGGAGCCGUAGAAAUCGGAACGCUAGUUUCGAUGGAGGCGCUGGUGGGAUACUACCCCUGCGUUAUGGCCACUCUAACCCGCACCACUAAUCGUGGUGGGAGACAGUGUCAGAUGGGCAGUUUGACUGGGGCGGUCGCCUCCUAAAAGGUAACGGAGGCGCCCAAAGGUUCCCUCAGAAUGGUUGGAAAUCAUUCGAAGAGUGUAAAGGCAGAAGGGAGCUUGACUGCGAGACCAACAAGUCGAGCAGGGACGAAAGUCGGGCUUAGUGAUCCGGUGGUUCCGCAUGGAAGGGCCAUCGCUCAACGGAUAAAAGCUACCCUGGGGAUAACAGGCUUAUCUCCCCCAAGAGUCCACAUCGACGGGGAGGUUUGGCACCUCGAUGUCGGCUCGUCGCAUCCUGGGGCUGUAGUCGGUCCCAAGGGUUGGGCUGUUCGCCCAUUAAAGCGGCACGC
Molecule: ribosomal RNA, 2590 nt
Filed under: Enterococcus faecium
Lineage: Bacteria; Bacillati; Bacillota; Bacilli; Lactobacillales; Enterococcaceae
Description: partial 23S ribosomal RNA
Rfam family: Bacterial large subunit ribosomal RNA
Source: RNAcentral